AACGAACGCUGGCGGCAGGCCUAACACAUGCAAGUCGAGCGCGCCCUUCGGGGUGAGCGGCGGACGGGUGAGUAACGCGUGGGAACGUGCCCUUUUCUACGGAAUAGCCUCGGGAAACUGAGAGUAAUACCGUAUACGCCCUUUGGGGGAAAGAUUUAUCGGAAAAGGAUCGGCCCGCGUUGGAUUAGGUAGUUGGUGGGGUAAUGGCCUACCAAGCCGACGACCCAUAGCUGGUUUGAGAGGAUGAUCAGCCACACUGGGACUGAGACACGGCCCAGACUCCUACGGGAGGCAGCAGUGGGGAAUCUUAGACAAUGGGGGCAACCCUGAUCUAGCCAUGCCGCGUGAGUGAUGAAGGCCUUAGGGUUGUAAAGCUCUUUCAGCUGGGAAGAUAAUGACGGUACCAGCAGAAGAAGCCCCGGCUAACUCCGUG
This 433-nucleotide ribosomal RNA is filed under the name uncultured bacterium. RNAcentral describes it as "partial 16S ribosomal RNA". It matches the Rfam family "Bacterial small subunit ribosomal RNA", at positions 29 to 507 of the family's 1533-position model. The record is from RNAcentral.